RNAcentral lists this ribosomal RNA (889 nucleotides) under Wolbachia pipientis. RNAcentral's name for it is "bacterial SSU rRNA". It matches the Rfam family "Bacterial small subunit ribosomal RNA", at positions 77 to 1006 of the family's 1533-position model. Lineage: Bacteria; Pseudomonadati; Pseudomonadota; Alphaproteobacteria; Rickettsiales; Anaplasmataceae. The record is from RNAcentral.
GCUAUGGUAUAACUUUAGUGGCAGACGGGUGAGUAAUGUAUAGGAAUCUACCUAGUAGUACGGAAUAAUUGUUGGAAACGACAACUAAUACCGUAUACGCCCUACGGGGGAAAAAUUUAUUGCUAUUAGAUGAGCCUAUAUUAGAUUAGCUAGUUGGUGGGGUAAUAGCCUACCAAGGUAAUGAUCUAUAGCUGAUCUGAGAGGAUGAUCAGCCACACUGGAACUGAGAUACGGUCCAGACUCCUACGGGAGGCAGCAGUGGGGAAUAUUGGACAAUGGGCGAAAGCCUGAUCCAGCCAUGCCGCAGAGUGAAGAAGGCCUUUGGGUUGUAAAGCUCUUUUAGUGAGGAAGAUAAUGACGGUACUCACAGAAGAAGUCCUGGCUAACUCCGUGCCAGCAGCCGCGGUAAUACGGAGAGGGCUAGCGUUAUUCGGAAUUAUUGGGCGUAAAGGGCGCGUAGGCUGGUUAAUAAGUUAAAAGUGAAAUCCCGAGGCUUAACCUUGGAAUUGCUUUUAAAACUAUUAAUCUAGAGAUUGAAAGAGGAUAGGGGAAUUCCUGAUGUAGAGGUAAAAUUCGUAAAUAUUAGGAGGAACACCAGUGGCGAAGGCGUCUAUCUGGUUCAAAUCUGACGCUGAAGCGCGAAGGCGUGGGGAGCAAACAGGAUUAGAUACCCUGGUAGUCCACGCUGUAAACGAUGAAUGUUAAAUAUGGGGAGUUUACUUUCUGUAUUACAGCUAACGCGUUAAACAUUCCGCCUGGGGACUACGGUCGCAAGAUUAAAACUCAAAGGAAUUGACGGGGACCCGCACAAGCGGUGGAGCAUGUGGUUUAAUUCGAUGCAACGCGAAAAACCUUACCACUUCUUGACAUGAAAAUCAUACCCUAUACA